Molecule: RNA transcript, 2177 nt
Organism: Cyprinus carpio (common carp)
Lineage: Eukaryota; Metazoa; Chordata; Actinopteri; Cypriniformes; Cyprinidae
Gene: cacnb3a
Gene name: calcium voltage-gated channel auxiliary subunit beta 3a
Source: RefSeq, a predicted model, not a curated record
UGGGGGGGGGGCACUGUAGCGCAAGACACAUCAUUACAAAAGGCGCUUGCACAAGAAACAGACCCGUUGCAUUUGUACACCUGUAUUACUGUCUCGAUUUAUAAUAACCCGCGCGAGGGAAAAUAUCUUAGGAUCUCCGUGCAGCUUAAACAGAAGCUUGACCGUUCAAUCGUGAUACCCUCUUCUUCCUCGGGAGGCAUAUGUAUUUGGUAUCGCCGUUUCUUCCAGUAAGCACCAAUGCAUGCAUGCACCCGCCUCCCUGCGCUCUCAAAUAGAUGGUGCAAGUAAAGAUGUCCAAAUCUUCCGCAGACCCUCUGUCUGGUGUAGAAAGCGCUUCUCAGUCGCACUAUUUUCAGCUACCACGAAAGUUGCCGAAGCGCAAGGGACGCUUUAAACGCUCAGAUGGCAGCACCUCGUCUGACACCACCUCCAGCUUCAUCAAGCGACAGGGUUCAGCCGAUUCGUACACGAGCAGACCUUCGGAUUCCGACCUGUCAGCGGAGGAGGACCGCGAGGCGUAUCGGCGUGAAGCCGAACGCCAGGCCCAGCUGCAGCUCGAGAGAGCCAAGUCCAAACCUGUAGCAUUCGCAGUGAAGACGAAUGUGAAUUAUUGUGGGGCUCUAGAUGAGGACUGUCCUGUUCAGGGUGCUGCCAUAAACUUUGAAGCCAAAGACUUUCUGCACAUUAAAGAGAAGUACAAUAAUGACUGGUGGAUUGGAAGGCUGGUGAAAGAGGGGGCAGACAUCAGCUUCAUUCCCAGCCCCCUCCGACUGGAGGCCAUGAGACUCAAACAGGAGCAGAAACAACAGAGGAAAAGUGGCAACUCCUCCUCAAGCCUGGGUGACAUGGUCUCAGGAGGUUGGAGAUCCACGCCGCCAUCUGCAGGUGAGACCAAACAGAAGCUAAAGCAGACUGAACACAUUCCUCCAUAUGAUGUGGUGCCGUCCAUGAGGCCUGUGGUUCUGGUUGGACCUUCACUGAAGGGCUAUGAGGUGACAGAUAUGAUGCAGAAAGCCCUGUUUGACUUUCUCAAACAUCGCUUUGAUGGACGGAUUUCUAUAACCCGGGUGACCGCUGACCUUUCUUUGGCCAAGAGAUCGGUUCUCAACAAGAGACCCAUCAUGGAGAGGUCUAACACACGAACCAGUUUGGCGGAAGUACAAAGUGAGAUCGAGAGAAUAUUUGAGCUGGCCAAAACUCUUCAGUUGGUGGUUCUAGAUGCAGACACCAUUAACCAUCCAGCGCAGCUAGCUAAAACCUCGUUAGCUCCUAUUAUUGUGUACGUCAAGGUCACCUCUCCAAAGGUCCUACAGCGAUUGAUAAAGUCGAGGGGUAAAUCACAGAGCAAACACCUCAAUGUUCAGAUGAUGGCAGCAGAUAAACUGACUCAAUGUCCUCCUAGCCAUCUCCCAUCACCUGACCACCAUCACAAGAUAUUUUAUAUAAUAUCUUCUAAUUCCAUCCCCCACAUGUCAUCUUCUCCUCCACCCUGUCUCCCCAUCAGGAGAUGUUUGAUGUCAUUUUGGAUGAGAACCAGUUGGAGGACGCCUGUGAGCACCUCUCUGAAUAUCUGGAGGUCUACUGGCGUGCCACUCAUCUGCCCGGCACCACCCCUCUCAACCCUCUAAUGGAGCAAAAUCUGAUGACCCCACCCUCAGUAAUCUCCAGUCUACAGUUCUCUGAAACACAGGAAUUAAUUGAAUGAACGCUUACAAACCUGCGAACCAGCAGCUGUCGCCUGCCGGGGGUGGAGGGGGAGUGGAGGAGGAGGAGCAGGGGGAGCAGGACAGCCUCAUGCCCUCCGACGAGGCCAGUGACUCUCGCUCCCUCCGUCGAGGCGUCUCUAGCUCCCUGCACCCCCCGGAGGAUGAGGAAGAAGAGGAGGAGGAGGAGGAAGAGGAGGAAGAUGAUUUCGAACCCCACCACCCUCACCCGUACCGGGAUGUGUAUCCGCCCAACCGUAACCACCCUGGUGGCAACCACAGCGCUAACGGACACGAGGCACAGGACCGGCUCCUGCAGGAGCGAGACUCGCAGGACGGACACAACCAACGAAACAACCGCCAGCGCACAAGAGCCUGGCCAAGAGACAACUACUGACCACCUGUCUGCAGGAGUCUUGAGGAGAGGGUUGGGUUGUGAAUUGGGGUGAGGGGUGAUGGGAAUUAAUGAGGAAC